This 119-nucleotide ribosomal RNA is filed under the name Pteropus alecto (black flying fox). The record is from RNAcentral. Lineage: Eukaryota; Metazoa; Chordata; Mammalia; Chiroptera; Pteropodidae.
AUCUACAGCCAUGUUGCCUUGAACAAGCCCGAUCCCAUCUGAUCUCAGAAGCUAAGCAGGGUCAGGCCUGGUUAGUACUUAGAUGGGAGACCACCUACGAAGACCAGGUGCUAUAGGUG